RNAcentral lists this ribosomal RNA (233 nucleotides) under uncultured bacterium. RNAcentral's name for it is "partial 16S ribosomal RNA". It matches the Rfam family "Bacterial small subunit ribosomal RNA", at positions 333 to 583 of the family's 1533-position model. The record is from RNAcentral.
UUACCCCUACGGGACGCAGCAGUGGGGAAUAUUGCACAAUGGGGGAAACCCUGAUGCAGCGACGCCGCGUGAGUGAGGAAGUAUUUCGGUAUGUAAAGCUCUAUCAGCAGGGAAGAAAAUGACGGUACCUGACUAAGAAGCCCCGGCUAAUUACGUGCCAGCAGCCGCGGUAAUACGUAGGGGGCAAGCGUUAUCCGGAUUUACUGGGUGUAAAGGGAGCGUAGACGGAGGAG